Non-coding RNA from Podarcis lilfordi (Lilford's wall lizard), 70 nucleotides. NCBI's taxonomy places the organism in Eukaryota, Metazoa, Chordata, Lepidosauria, Squamata, Lacertidae. The record is from the annotation of a GenBank genome assembly.
GGGCCAUAGCUCAGUGGCAGAGCAUGUGCCUUGCAUGCAAAAGGCCCCAGGUUCAAUCCCAGGGGCAGCA